GUCCUAGCUUUGGUAGUACAUAUACUGAAAUUGGCAUGAUACAGAGAAGAUUACCAUGGCCCCUGCUCAAGGAUUGCACACAAAUUCAUGAAGUGUACCAUAUUUUU
This 107-nucleotide small nuclear RNA is filed under the name Erinaceus europaeus (western European hedgehog). Lineage: Eukaryota; Metazoa; Chordata; Mammalia; Eulipotyphla; Erinaceidae. The record is from RNAcentral.